GAUGAACGCUGGCGGCGUGCCUAAUACAUGCAGGUCGAGCGAACGGACGAGAGGCUUGCUUUUCUGAUGUUAGCGGCGGACGGGUGAGUAACACGUGGAUAACCUACCUAUAAGACUGGGAUAACUUCGGGAAACCGGAGCUAAUACCGGAUAAUAUUUUGAACCGCAUGGUUCAUAAGUGAAAGACGGUCUUGCUGUCACUUAUAGAUGGAUCCGCGCUGCAUUAGCUAGUUGGUAAGGUAACGGCUUACCAAGGCAACGAUGCAUAGCCGACCUGAGAGGGUGAUCGGCCACACUGGAACUGAGACACGGUCCAGACUCCUACGGGAGGCAGCAGUAGGGAAUCUUCCGCAAUGGGCGAAAGCCUGACGGAGCAACGCCGCGUGAGUGAUGAAGGUCUUCGGAUCGUAAAACUCUGUUAUUAGGGAAGAACAUAUGUGUAAGUAACUGUGCACAUCUUGACGGUACCUAAUCAGAAAGCCACGGCUAACUACGUG
RNAcentral lists this ribosomal RNA (497 nucleotides) under uncultured bacterium. RNAcentral describes it as "partial 16S ribosomal RNA". It matches the Rfam family "Bacterial small subunit ribosomal RNA", at positions 28 to 507 of the family's 1533-position model. The record is from RNAcentral.